GGCGAUCAGAUACCGCCCUAGUUCUGACCGUAAACGAUGCCAACUAGCGAUCCGCCGGUGGAUUUUUAGCCCUGGUGGGUAGCUUCCCGGAAACGAAAGUCUUCCGGUUCCGGGGGAAGUAUGGUUGCAAAGCUGAAACUUAAAGGAAUUGACGGAAGGGCACCACCAGGAGUGGAGCCUGCGGCUUAAUUUGACUCAACACGGGGAAACUCACCCGGCCCGGACACCGUAAGGAUUGACAGAUUGAUAGCUCUUUCAUGAUUCGGUGGUUGGUGGUGCAUGGCCGUUCUUAGUUCGUGGAUCGAUUUGUCUGGUUUAUUCCGAUAACGAGCGAGACUCUAGCCUACUAAAUAGUAACGAGAUUAUCAAUGUCUCAGCUGCUUCUUAGAGGGAUUUUCGGUGUUUAGCCGCACGAGAUUGAGCAAUAACAGGUCUGUGAUGCCCUUAGAUGUCCGGGGCUGCACGCGCGCUACACUGGCGAAAUCAGCGUGCUGUAUCCAUUCUCGAAAGGGAUUGGUAAACCCAUGAAAAUUUGCCGUGCUUGGGAUCGGAAAUUGCAAUUAUUUUCCGUGAACGAGGAAUUCCAAGUAAGUGCGAGUCAUCAACUCGCUCUGAUUACGUCCCUGCCCUUUGU
RNAcentral lists this ribosomal RNA (634 nucleotides) under Acrobeloides maximus. Its description in RNAcentral is "SSU rRNA". It matches the Rfam family "Eukaryotic small subunit ribosomal RNA", at positions 1003 to 1663 of the family's 1831-position model. The record is from RNAcentral. Lineage: Eukaryota; Metazoa; Nematoda; Chromadorea; Rhabditida; Cephalobidae.